Sinocyclocheilus anshuiensis is the source of this 435-nucleotide long non-coding RNA. RefSeq lists it as uncharacterized. The transcript has 2 exons. NCBI's taxonomy places the organism in Eukaryota, Metazoa, Chordata, Actinopteri, Cypriniformes, Cyprinidae. The record is from RefSeq and is a predicted model, not a curated record.
AUGGGGGCAAUGGCCUUAAUGCAGAAAUACCUUUGAAAUUUUGAUAGUUGAUAAAAAAAAACCCCCAGAAAUUAAUUGAACUCUGAGGGAGGGUCAGGCUUUCUAAGUUUAAGCCAAUCAAUACAAGUGCUUUGAGCUCUUAAGAGGACCAAUAAAAACAAAAACCUCUCAAUCAGCCAAUCAGUAGUGAGGAAUAUCGUCAUAAUAUAAGGUUUAACCUACUUCUGGGAAGCGAAAACAUUGCGAGUGAUGGAUUUUUAAAAAAACAAUAAAAAAAAAAGAGAAGGAGAGAGAAAUAGAAAAAAAUCAGACACUGCAAGUCUAAACCCUUUAAGGAAAGCGGAGUUAUAAAUUUUAGAUUUAAAUCACCCCUUAUAAAGUCAUUUACAACUGAUUGUCUUUACAAAAUUAUCUAAAAAUCAAAACUCCUCCAGG